GAGAAGUCUAAAAUUGGGCAGAAAAUCUCACUCCCAGUCAUGAGAUUCACAUGGUCAGUUAUGGAAUUGAAGAAACAAGCAUGGCCUCCCGUGGGAUGAUUGUAGGGCGCUUGGUUAACCAUGAGAAUGUUUCUUACACCCAAGGCUGGCCAUGAGAAGGGAGGAGACAUUUUUGGACUCUCCCAAAUACUAAAAAAACUCACAAUUUGUGCUGGAGCAAGGAUCUUGAAUGAGAGAUUUUGGAUGCUUGAAGGAGGAAGACAUCAAUC
Molecule: unclassified non-coding RNA, 269 nt
Filed under: Hevea brasiliensis (rubber tree)
Lineage: Eukaryota; Viridiplantae; Streptophyta; Magnoliopsida; Malpighiales; Euphorbiaceae
Source: RNAcentral